GAAUUGCAAAUUCGAAAACGCACCCCAAAAGG
This 32-nucleotide transfer RNA is filed under the name Strophurus assimilis (Goldfields spiny-tailed gecko). RNAcentral describes it as "partial tRNA-Cys". The record is from RNAcentral. Lineage: Eukaryota; Metazoa; Chordata; Lepidosauria; Squamata; Diplodactylidae.